UGGAUUCUUCUUUUCUCAAUUCAUUCUCUCGAUCUCGAGAUUGGGAUCUCCGGUUGGUUUAAUUAUGGCGUUUCUUUAACAAAUUUCCGGUUUCGGAGCUUUCGAACGAUCUUCUCCUCCGAGGGCUAGUUGAUUGAGACGGCAUUUCCAAUCUCCAAUUUUCCAAUAACAGUGAUCAUCUCCUCGUGUCUUCAUGGGAUAAGCGUGUGAGGUUGUAUGAUGUGAGCACCAAUUCGUUGCGAGGCGAGUUCUUACACGGCGGAGCAGUACUGGAUUGCUGUUUUCAUGAUGAUUUCUCCGGCUUUAGUGUUGGCGCCGAUUACAAAGUCAGAAGGAUUGUUUUCAAUGUUGGCAAAGAGGACAUUUUGGGAACGCAUGACAGACCAGUGCGCUGUGUUGAGUAUUCUUAUGC
Molecule: non-coding RNA, 412 nt
Organism: Camelina sativa (false flax)
Lineage: Eukaryota; Viridiplantae; Streptophyta; Magnoliopsida; Brassicales; Brassicaceae
Source: RefSeq, a predicted model, not a curated record